GAACGCGAAGAACCUUACCAGGUCUUGACAUUGAUGGACGAAACAAGAGAUUGUUUUUCUCCUUCGGGAGCCAGAAAACAGGUGGUGCACGGCUGUCGUCAGCUCGUGUCGUGAGAUGUUGGGUUAAGUCCCGCAACGAGCGCAACCCCUAUCUUAUGUUGCCAGCACUUCGGGUGGGAACUCAUGAGAGACUGCCGCAGACAAUGCGGAGGAAGGCGGGGAUGACGUCAAGUCAUCAUGCCCCUUAUGACCUGGGCUACACACGUACUACAAUGGGCUUUAAUAGAGGGAAGCGAAGCCGCGAGGUGGAGCAAACCCCAGAAACAAGCUCUCAGUUCGGAUCGUAGGCUGCAACUCGCCUACGUGAAGUCGGAAUCGCUAGUAAUCGCAGGUCAGCAUACUGCGGUGAAUACGUUCCCGGGUCUUGUACACACC
This 435-nucleotide ribosomal RNA is filed under the name uncultured bacterium. RNAcentral describes it as "bacterial SSU rRNA". It matches the Rfam family "Bacterial small subunit ribosomal RNA", at positions 957 to 1391 of the family's 1533-position model. The record is from RNAcentral.